UACGUAGGGUGCAAGCGUUGUCCGGAAUUAUUGGGCGUAAAGAGCUCGUAGGCGGUCUGUCGCGUCUGCUGUGAAAACCCGAGGCUCAACCUCGGGCCUGCAGUGGCUACGGGCAGACUAGAGUGCGGUAGGGGAGAUUGGAAUUCCUGGUGUAGCGGUGGAAUGCGCAGAUAUCAGGAGGAACACCGAUGGCGAAGGCAGAUCUCUGGGCCGUAACUGACGCUGAGGAGCGAAAGCGUGGGGAGCGAACAGG
RNAcentral lists this ribosomal RNA (253 nucleotides) under uncultured bacterium. Its description in RNAcentral is "partial 16S ribosomal RNA". It matches the Rfam family "Bacterial small subunit ribosomal RNA", at positions 524 to 776 of the family's 1533-position model. The record is from RNAcentral.